UAAUUGCUUAUUGUUUAUUUAAUUUUUAACAGUUAAUAAAUUGAAAUUGUACAUUAAUUGGUAAACUAUACAUUAUAAAAGUCAAUCACUGACGCUUUUUUAUUUAUCCUAUUUUAUGUGUUUAGUUAAAAUAUUUGUACAUUCUGACCUGUCAGGAGAUCCUGCAUGUACAGUAAAUCCGAAAGCUGGCCAGACCCCUCCCCCUCCCCUCUCUGUUUCCACGGCAACCCUGUCAGGGUGGAGGAGAGAGCGAUUCACGUGAGGCUCGAGCAUCCCUCUCUCUCUCUCUCUCUCUCUCGACUGAUAGAGGUUGCGUUUGAGGAGAGCUCAUGCAUCACAUCUGAGCCGUCCUUCUCUCACUCGUCCUUCUCCUCUAAAGCAGGCGUUCAUGCCAACAUGGGAUGUGGGAAUUCCUCCGCCACCAGCACUACAGCAGGAGUUCCAGCAGAAGCUGCCAAGGAUGUAAGAACCUUCGCCGGAUGA
Cyprinus carpio (common carp) is the source of this 483-nucleotide long non-coding RNA. Lineage: Eukaryota; Metazoa; Chordata; Actinopteri; Cypriniformes; Cyprinidae. The record is from Ensembl.